UACGUAGGGUGCGAGCGUUUGUCCGGAAUUACUGGGCGUAAAGAGCUCGUAGGUGGUUUGUCGCGUCGUUUGUGUAAGUCCACGGCUUAACUGUGGGAUGGCAGGCGAUACGGGCAUAACUUUGAGUGCUGUAGGGGGAGACUGGAAUUCCUGGUGUAGCGGUGAAAUGCGCAGAUAUCAGGAGGAACACCGAUGACGAAGGCAGGUCUCUGGGCAGUAACUGACGCUGAGAAGCGAAAGCAUGGGGUAGCGAACAGG
Molecule: ribosomal RNA, 258 nt
Filed under: uncultured bacterium
Lineage: Bacteria
Description: partial 16S ribosomal RNA
Rfam family: Bacterial small subunit ribosomal RNA
Source: RNAcentral